RNAcentral lists this ribosomal RNA (502 nucleotides) under uncultured bacterium. RNAcentral describes it as "partial 16S ribosomal RNA". It matches the Rfam family "Bacterial small subunit ribosomal RNA", at positions 28 to 507 of the family's 1533-position model. The record is from RNAcentral.
GAUUAACGCUGGCGGCGUGCCUAACACAUGCAAGUCGAGCGGCAGCGCGUUUUACACUGAAUUUUGGAAGCUUCCAGUCGAAAGAGAAGAUUUAUUCAAGAAUUUUGUGUAAAUUGUCGGCGAUCGGCGGACGGCUGAGUAAUGCGUGGGAACGUACCCCAAAGCGAGGGAUAACGCAUCGAAAGGUGUGCUAAUACCGCAUAUGGUCUUCGGAUUAACGCCUUCGGGCGCUUUGGGAACGGCCUGCGUAAGAUUAGAUGGUUGGUAGGGUAAUUGCCUAGCUAGUCGACGAUCCUUGACUGGUAUGAGAGGAUGAUCAGUCAGACUGGAACUGAGACACGGACCAGACUCCUACGGAAGGCAGCAGUAAGGAGUCUUCCACAAUGAGCGAAAGCCUGAUGGAGCAACGCCGCGUACAGGAUGAAGGCCUUCGGGUUGUAAACUGCUUUUAUAAGUGAGGAUUAUGACAGUAACUGAUGAAUAAGGAUCGGCUAACUACGUG